AACGAACGCUGGCGGCGUGGAUAAGACAUGCAAGUCGAACGGGACUUUUCCGAGUAGCAAUACCUGGAAAAGUUUAGUGGCGAACGGGUGCGUAACACGUGGGGAAUCUGCCGAGAAGUGGGGGAUAGCUCGUCGAAAGGCGAAUUAAUACCGCAUAUGAUCAGGGAAGACAUCUUUCCAACAUCAAAGCCGGGGCAACCUGGCGCUUCUUGAUGACCCCGCGGCCUAUCAGCUAGUUGGUGAGGUAACGGCCCACCAAGGCUAUGACGGGUAGCUGGUCUGAGAGGACGACCAGUCACACUGGAACUGAGACACGGUCCAGACACCUACGGGUGGCAGCAGUCGAGAAUUUUUCUCAAUGGGGGCAACCCUGAAGGAGCGACGCCGCGUGGAGGAUGAAGGCUUUCGGGCUGUAAACUCCUGUCAUUUGAGAACAAGUGUAGCCAAGUAACUACUGGCUACUUGAUAGUAUCAGAAGAGGAAGGGACGGCUAACUCCGUGCCAGCAGCCGCGGUAAUACAGAGGUCCCAAGCGUUGUUCGGAUUCAUUGGGCGUAAAGGGUGCGUAGGUGGCGUGGUAUGUCGGGUGUGAAAUUUCGGAGCUCAACUUCGAAACUGCAUUCGAUACUGCCGUGC
This 635-nucleotide ribosomal RNA is filed under the name uncultured bacterium. RNAcentral's name for it is "bacterial SSU rRNA". It matches the Rfam family "Bacterial small subunit ribosomal RNA", at positions 28 to 641 of the family's 1533-position model. The record is from RNAcentral.